Long non-coding RNA from Mastomys coucha (southern multimammate mouse), 1204 nucleotides. RefSeq lists it as uncharacterized. NCBI's taxonomy places the organism in Eukaryota, Metazoa, Chordata, Mammalia, Rodentia, Muridae. The record is from RefSeq and is a predicted model, not a curated record. The transcript has 7 exons.
AUAGGAAGGUAGAGGGCCCUGGCAGGGAGGCCUGCAAAGGGAAGAAUGGGAUACUUAAAUUACCUGAUAUAUGAGAUGUGUUAGUAGAUCUGGUGAGAAAAGGACUAAGCCACUCUAGCAAAUUAAUCUACCAGGAAGAGGAGGUCAUGGAAACCCCGAAUCACAGCCAGUCAUCCAGCCAGCAAACCAGAUGCAUUAAUAACAACAUACUACUUGCAUACUACUUGGAUCUGAAUGAAGAAAAGGCGUUGGACCCUCAAUCCAUGGGCUCUGGUCAAUACCAAGACCUUCUCCAAUACAAACCUAUAUAAUAAGGCAAACAUCUAUACAAAGCCAAUCAUCUGUUUUUAGAAAGCAUGCUGUUAAAGAGUGUGCAACAUGAAGGGAAUGCCAUCAUGCUAACUAAUGUGACCGGCAAAACAGUCAUUUUGUAAGGCUACUGGACUAUCAAGACUACAGGGAUAGAUUGCCAAGAGCCAGAAGAUACCCUCCUGAAGAAGUGUGUGAGGCCCACCUUUAUUGAAACUUUCUAACAAGAAAGCUACCAGGGGAGAAAGACUAAUGAGGCUGAAUGUCCAACGGCUAAUCAGCUAGGUGUGGUUGACCGAGUCUUACUGGGAGUUGUAGCAGUGCCAAUUCCACAGCACCACUGAGGUCCUGGACCAGCAGCUAGAGGGGACACCUUGCCUCUCCCAGGGACAACGUGAUCUGAGCUUCCAUGCCCAGCAUCCCAAGGAUCAGCUUACUCAGAGGGUGGGCAGGAGGCAGAUUUUCUUCUAGCAUUGAUUUCCCUGUACGAAUAACAGCAUGUUUAAUGGGCAUGUGCACCUAGAAAAGAAGAAGGGGGAAUGCAAAGAGCAGACUUCCAGAACAGCCAAAUGAGUCAAACGAGAUGCACCUCCUGGGAGCCCUGAAUUGAUGGUCUCCAGGAAUGUCACUACUGGCCGGCCAGAGGCAGAACAGUCUCUUGAGGAGGACUUGAAGACUCCUCAGGCAGAGAUACAGAUAAGCAUCCUCGGAAAUGGAUUCCAGCACUCUGGCAGUAGUGGAGAUCAAGGGCUUGCUCUGGAGGGCCGCCAGUGAGUGAUCCAGAGAAAAGAAAAAGCCCCCAGCUACCGCCACUACCCCACGAGCCCUGCCCAAAACCACGGAUCUCUGAUCCACCAGCAGUAUAUUAGGUACUUUUCUCAUUAAACAGCUUGAA